CCAUCUUCCUUAUUUAGUAAUUGGCAGUGAGAAAUGAGCCAACUGGGUGAUGAAGAUCAGGCGGUCCUCCAUCGUCCUCCUCAUUUGGUAAUUGGCAGUGAGAAAUGAGCUAACUGCGUGAUGAAGAUCAAACGGUCCUCCAUCGUCCUUAUUUGGUAAUUAGCAUUCAGAAAUGAGCCAGCCGGGUGAUGAAGAUCGACGGUCCUCUAUCGUCCUCCUCAUUUGGUAAUUGACAGUGAGAAACGAGAACCCCGUCAGUGUCACGUGCUUAUUGGCUGCUACAAAUAAAUAUCUGAUAAGUUGGUUCCACCUCAGCAUUAGCUUUUUGAUACUUUUCAAAGAAUAUAACGCUAUAAAAACGCCGAGGGCGUGUACAGGGAGUGUGCUUCCCUCAGUGAUUGGUUCUGAGUUAAAAGAUAGUGAAGAGAUAAAACCAGGUUUUUUUAGAGAUGGCUUCAGUGCAGACGACAAUGACGACAAUUGUCUGUAAGAAUGGUAACCAUGGUGCUCCUGCCAAGUUUCCAAGUACUUCCUUCUUACCUGGGUUUGAUAUGGUUGGUCAUGUUUCCAGUGCAUGCAAAAAGGAAAUGUGCCUUUCCAUGUCCUCAGUUGCUAGAGCCACAUUGACGUUUGAUCCCCCAACAACCAAUUCAGAGAGAACCAAACAAAGAAAGCACACUGUUGAUCCUGGUUCUCCUGAUUUUCUACCACUUCCAUCCUUUGAGCAAUGUUUUCCCAAGAGCUCCAAGGAAUAUAGGGAAGUUGUUCACAAACAAACUGGCCAUGUACUUAAAGUUCCCUUUCGACGGGUUCACUUGAGUGGGGAUGAACCAGAUUUUGACACCUAUGACACCAGUGGUCAGCAAAACAUCAGCCCGCAUGUUGGACUUCCUAAACUGCGAAAGGACUGGAUUGACAGGCGAGAGAAGUUAGGAGGACCAAGAUACACUCAAAUGUACUAUGCCAAGCAGGGAAUCAUAACUGAGGAAAUGUUGUAUUGUGCCAGUCGUGAAAAGCUUGACCCAGAAUUUGUGAGGUCAGAGGUUGCUCGUGGUCGAGCAAUCAUCCCUUCCAACAAGAAACAUUUGGAACUGGAACCAAUGAUAGUUGGAAGAAACUUUUUGGUCAAAGUUAAUGCAAAUAUUGGAAACUCGGCUGUAGCAAGCUCUAUUGAAGAAGAAGUUUAUAAGGUUCAAUGGGCAACUAUGUGGGGUGCCGACACUGUCAUGGAUCUGUCUACUGGUCGCCACAUUCAUGAGACCCGUGAGUGGAUUCUUCGUAACUCCUCUGUACCAGUGGGAACUGUGCCCAUUUAUCAGGCACUGGAAAAGGUGAAUGGCAUUGCUGAAAAUCUCAGCUGGGAAGUCUUCAAAGACACCCUGAUUGAACAAGCUGAGCAAGGGGUAGAUUAUUUCACAAUUCAUGCUGGAGUUCUGUUGCGAUAUAUCCCUUUAACAGCAAAGCGUAUGACCGGAAUUGUUUCCCGGGGAGGAUCUAUUCAUGCAAAGUGGUGCUUAGCUUAUCACAAGGAGAACUUUGCUUAUGAGCACUGGGAUGAAAUACUUGACAUUUGUAAUCAGUAUGAUGUGGCCCUAUCUAUAGGUGAUGGGCUGAGACCUGGGUCCAUUUAUGAUGCCAAUGACACUGCACAGUUUGCUGAGCUUUUAACUCAAGGGGAACUGACCCGUAGAGCAUGGGAAAAAGAUGUGCAGGUGAUGAAUGAGGGACCUGGACAUAUUCCAAUGCACAAGAUCCCUGAAAACAUGCAAAAGCAGCUGGAAUGGUGCAAUGAAGCACCUUUUUAUACUCUCGGUCCACUAACAACAGAUAUAGCUCCUGGUUAUGAUCACAUCACCUCUGCCAUUGGGGCUGCCAACAUAGGGGCUCUUGGCACUGCUCUUCUGUGUUAUGUAACACCAAAAGAACAUCUUGGAUUGCCAAAUAGGGAUGAUGUGAAGGCUGGGGUUAUAGCGUAUAAGAUAGCUGCUCAUGCAGCAGAUUUAGCAAAAGGUCACCCACAUGCUCAGGCCUGGGAUGAUGCUUUAAGCAAGGCAAGAUUCGAAUUCCGAUGGAUGGACCAGUUUGCUUUAUCGUUGGAUCCCAUGACUGCAAUGUCCUUCCACGAUGAAACCCUGCCAUCAGAGGGUGCAAAAGUGGCACAUUUUUGCUCAAUGUGUGGACCUAAGUUCUGCUCUAUGAAGAUUACUGAGGAUGUGCGGAAGUAUGCAGAGGAGCAUGGUUAUGGGAGCGCUGAGGAAGCUAUGCAGCAAGGUAUGGAUGCAAUGAGUGCUGAGUUCCUGGCUGCCAAGAAAACUGUUAGCGGGGAACAACAUGGUGAAGUUGGUGGCGAAAUCUAUUUGCCAGCAAGUUAUGUGAAGUCCUCUGAGAGGUGAAGGACCAUAUAGCCGGAGUUGGUUUCAGACUGUUAGAGUUAGAAGCUGUAUUGGCAUUAUAAUAACAGUCUGUACUGUCAGACUGUAGGGGUGCCUGCAUCUGCUUUAGAGCUGGCUGAUUGGCCAGAAUGCUGGCAGAUGAGGCUGAGAAAGUCCCUUUGAACCUGAACAGGAUAAUGCCUGCGUAGGGAGUGUGCACUUUCUUUUGCUCUUUUUCUGUGUUUGAGCAGGGAAGGAGGUGCCAUUUAUGGUUUGGGCAAGCUGAUCCGCGUGGGCACCCUCAGCUUCAUAUCCAGGCUUAUCACACUCCAAAGCCCAGGAUGCAACUAAACUAGCCCACUUAUAUUUCUUAUAUGCACUGCACAUACCAAGUUUUGAAAACUUCAUCUAUGAUACAAUAAGUCCUAUAACAAAUCAUUAAAUAUCAAAAUAUCUUGGGAAUAAUAAAAGAAAUGAGGAGAAACUAUUGAAGAAUCUGAAAAGACUAAUAAUUAAAAUUGUCGAUUUUUAAGAGGUUAUACAAAAAUCAUUCUCAACUCAAGAGUUAACCUUUGUGGUUAACAAAUUAGGGUUAGAUAAAAUUAUCCUUGUAUGCAAAUUGACUAUUGACUCAUUUUGAUACAGAUCAAAAUCUUCAUACUUCUUGUCAUUGCACGUACCUUUUAUCUAUUGUUGAUUUUGAUGAUUUGAAGGGACUUUUAUGCAUAAAAUGAAAUAUAUGUAUAUAUAUUGUUGAUAUUUAUCUUUUUUAUCACUUAUAUUGUAGAGAUUUACAUGUGUUUGCAUUGACAAUAGGGAUGCCAUGAAUAUGAGUAUAACCGUUUGCCGUUAUAAGGUUUAUUUUAGAUUCAGAUUUAAUUGAAUUUUUGGUUGAUUUGUGUGAAUAAUAUUGUGAUUGGUAAGGGUUUGAAUCAGAGUAAUAGGGAAAUUGGGCAAAAAAUUUGUUCAUCUUCGUGUUAUUUCUAGUAUACGUGAUUUGAAGUAGUACGUGUGAUUUGCAACUAACACUAACAUGCAUGUCAUGCAUAUUAGGAUCAAAUGAAGAUGAGGUUAAAUAAAAUUUGUCACAGAUGAGCACAUAGUUGGCCAUUACGAAAUUUCACAGUGUUAGUUAAUAGGUAUGUACAAUGCACAUAGUGGGAGUAAUUAAAAUUUUAUCAUGCAUGAAAUACAUGUAUUGUAUCACACAUAGUAGGUGUGAGACCUAUGAUUUAUAGGUUUGUGUAAUAUAGGGUAAUUGAAAGUUUGCCAUAUUGGAGAUAAUUAAAUCUUGUCAUAUGUGGAUUAUAGGUUUGUGAAAUACACAUAACUGGGUAUGCAUGCGCUAUGCAGUAUGCGUGAAAUCUCAAGUUAAAUGAUUCUAUUUUUAGCUAUGCAUGUCUGGUGUACAGAGUGUGCUUAAAUUUCAGGUCAAAUUUGGGUAUGCAUGCUCUAUACAGUAUGCGUGAAAUCUCAAGUUAAAUGAUUCUAUUUUUAGCUAUGCAUGUCUGAUGUACACAAUGUGCUUAAAUUUCAGGUCAAACGAAUUUUGAUCAAUUUUUUGUUUAAUAUUUUGCAUGCAUAUUGGAUUAUGCUUAAAUAUUUUGAAAAUUAACCUAAAUGUUCAAUUCUUUAUUAUAAAAUAUAAGAGAUAUAAUCCUAUAUUUAUAUAGAAAUUUAGGGUAUCAUAAAUACAAAUAAAUCCCUCGACCCUUAGUUGAGAGGCUACAGCUUGCAAAGUCUCUUGGCUAACCCUGUAUUCGUGCAAUCUUAGUGAUUAUCCAAAUCAACUUUUCAAAGAUGAUUGUUUUCUGUGAUGUUGUCUUACAAUUACAAGCGAGGGAUGAUAACACAAUGGAUCAUUGGAUCAAGUGAUUGUAGGGUCUUCAAUGUGAAGUUAAUCAAGUCUUUAUUAUUUGGUUGACCAUUAGAUUUUCACGAGGAGAACUGUGAGCCUUCUAGGACGCAGAUGGCCUUGCUUCUUUUUUGUUCUUUUGUUGGGUUUGUCAUGAUUGAUAACAAUUGUAUAUGUAUUGUAUUUAUUUCUAUUACGUAUAUUUUGGAAAUGUAGACUAAUAGUGUUGUUGUGCUA
This is an RNA transcript of Mangifera indica (mango), 4464 nucleotides long. It is a transcript of the gene named phosphomethylpyrimidine synthase, chloroplastic, with no coding region annotated. The transcript is spliced from 7 exons. Lineage: Eukaryota; Viridiplantae; Streptophyta; Magnoliopsida; Sapindales; Anacardiaceae. The record is from RefSeq and is a predicted model, not a curated record.